Molecule: ribosomal RNA, 347 nt
Filed under: Bos taurus (domestic cattle)
Lineage: Eukaryota; Metazoa; Chordata; Mammalia; Artiodactyla; Bovidae
Description: similar to 16S ribosomal RNA
Rfam family: Bacterial large subunit ribosomal RNA
Source: RNAcentral
GCAAAGAUUACCCCUUGUACCUUUUGCAUAAUGAAUUAACUAGUAUAAGACUUAACAAAAUGAAUUUUAGCUAAGCAGCCCGAAACCAGACGAGCUACUCACAAACAGUUUACCAAGAACUAACUCAUCUAUGUGGCAAAAUAGUGAGAAGAUUUGUAAGUAGAGGUGACAUGCCUAACGAGCCUGGUGAUAGCUGGUUGUCCAGAAAAUGAAUCUAAGUUCAGCUUUAAAGAUACCAAAAAUUCAAAUAAACCCCACUGUAGCUUUAAAAGUUAGUCUAAAAAGGUACAGCCUUUUAGAAACGGAUACAACCUUGACUAGAGAGUAAAAUUUAACACUACCAUAGU